GACGAACGCUGNGCGGCGUGCUUAACACAUGCAAGUCGAACGAGAAUCACUGGAAGGAGUUUUCGGACAACGGAAGGUGAGGACAGUGGCGGACGGGUGAGUAACGCGUGAGGAACCUGCCUUUCAGAGGGGGACAACAGUUGGAAACGACUGCUAAUACCGCAUGACACAUAGAGAUCGCAUGGUUUUUAUGUCAAAGAUUUAUCGCUGAAAGAUGGCCUCGCGUCUGAUUAGCUAGUUGGUGAGGUAACGGCCCACCAAGGCGACGAUCAGUAGCCGGACUGAGAGGUUGACCGGCCACAUUGGGACUGAGAUACGGCCCAGACUCCUACGGGAGGCAGCAGUGGGGAAUAUUGGGCAAUGGGCGCAAGCCUGACCCAGCAACGCCGCGUGAAGGAAGAAGGCUUUCGGGUUGUAAACUUCUUUUGUCGGGGACGAGUAGAAGACGGUACCUGGCGAAUAAGCCACGGCUAACUACGUGCCAGCAGCCGCGGUAAUACGUAGGUGGCAAGCGUUGUCCGGAUUUACUGGGUGUAAAGGGCGUGUAGCCGGGAAGGCAAGUCAGAUGUGAAAUCCACGGGCUUAACUCGUGAACUGCAUUUGAAACUACUUUUCUUGAGUAUCGGAGAGGCAAUCGGAAUUCCUAGUGUAGCGGUGAAAUGCGUAGAUAUUAGGAGGAACACCAGUGGCGAAGGCGGAUUGCUGGACGACAACUGACGGUGAGGCGCGAAAGCGUGGGGAGCAAACAGG
Molecule: ribosomal RNA, 750 nt
Filed under: uncultured Lachnospiraceae bacterium
Lineage: Bacteria; Bacillati; Bacillota; Clostridia; Lachnospirales; Lachnospiraceae
Description: bacterial SSU rRNA
Rfam family: Bacterial small subunit ribosomal RNA
Source: RNAcentral